RNAcentral lists this ribosomal RNA (495 nucleotides) under uncultured Streptococcus sp. RNAcentral's name for it is "bacterial SSU rRNA". It matches the Rfam family "Bacterial small subunit ribosomal RNA", at positions 30 to 507 of the family's 1533-position model. The record is from RNAcentral. Lineage: Bacteria; Bacillati; Bacillota; Bacilli; Lactobacillales; Streptococcaceae.
UGAACGCUGGCGGCGUGCCUAAUACAUGCAAGUAGAACGCUGAAGCUUGGUGCUUGCACCGAGCGGAUGAGUUGCGAACGGGUGAGUAACGCGUAGGUAACCUGCCUCUUAGCGGGGGAUAACUAUUGGAAACGAUAGCUAAUACCGCAUAAAAGUCGAUAUCGCAUGAUAUUGAUUUGAAAGGUGCAAUUGCAUCACUAAGAGAUGGACCUGCGUUGUAUUAGCUAGUUGGUGAGGUAACGGCUCACCAAGGCGACGAUACAUAGCCGACCUGAGAGGGUGAUCGGCCACACUGGGACUGAGACACGGCCCAGACUCCUACGGGAGGCAGCAGUAGGGAAUCUUCGGCAAUGGGGGCAACCCUGACCGAGCAACGCCGCGUGAGUGAAGAAGGUUUUCGGAUCGUAAAGCUCUGUUGUAAGAGAAGAACGAGUGUGAGAGUGGAAAGUUCACACUGUGACGGUAACUUACCAGAAAGGGACGGCUAACUACGUG